RNAcentral lists this transfer RNA (75 nucleotides) under Halorhodospira halophila. RNAcentral describes it as "tRNA-Glu". It matches the Rfam family "tRNA". From Rfam's summary of the family: Transfer RNA (tRNA) molecules are approximately 80 nucleotides in length. Their secondary structure includes four short double-helical elements and three loops (D, anti-codon, and T loops). Further hydrogen bonds mediate the characteristic L-shaped molecular structure. tRNAs have two regions of fundamental functional importance: the anti-codon, which is responsible for specific mRNA codon recognition, and the 3' end, to which the tRNAs corresponding amino acid is attached (by aminoacyl-tRNA synthetases). tRNAs cope with the degeneracy of the genetic code in two manners: having more than one tRNA (with a specific anti-codon) for a particular amino acid; and 'wobble' base-pairing, i.e. permitting non-standard base-pairing at the 3rd anti-codon position. Lineage: Bacteria; Pseudomonadati; Pseudomonadota; Gammaproteobacteria; Chromatiales; Ectothiorhodospiraceae. The record is from RNAcentral. RNAcentral also lists the same sequence under 6 other names.
GCUCCCAUCGUCUAGCGGUUAGGACGCCGCCCUCUCAAGGCGGAAACAGGGGUUCGAAUCCCCUUGGGAGCGCCA